Molecule: ribosomal RNA, 443 nt
Filed under: uncultured bacterium
Lineage: Bacteria
Description: partial 16S ribosomal RNA
Rfam family: Bacterial small subunit ribosomal RNA
Source: RNAcentral
CCUACGGGGUGCAGCAGUGGGGAAUAUUGGGCAAUGGGCGCAAGCCUGACCCAGCAACGCCGCGUGAAGGAAGAAGGCUUUCGGGUUGUAAACUUCUUUUCUGAGGGACGAAGAACGUGACGGUCGCGCAGGAAUAAGCCACGGCUAACGACGUGCCAGCAGCCGCGGUAAGACGUAGGUGGCAAGGUUUAUCCGGAUUGAUUGGGUGUAAAGGGCGUGUAGGCGGGAAAGCAAGUCAGAGUUGAAACCGGAGGGCUCCACCCUGAGCCUGGGUUUGAAACUGUUUUUCUUUAUUGCUGGAGAGGCAAUCGGAAUUCCGUGUGUAGCGGUGAAAUGCGUAGAUAUACGGAGGAACACCCGUGGCGGCGGCGGAUUGCUGGACAGUAACUGACGCUGAGGCGCGAAAGCGUGGGGAGCAAACAGGAGUAGAUACCCGAGUAGUC